This 484-nucleotide ribosomal RNA is filed under the name uncultured bacterium. RNAcentral describes it as "partial 16S ribosomal RNA". It matches the Rfam family "Bacterial small subunit ribosomal RNA", at positions 30 to 507 of the family's 1533-position model. The record is from RNAcentral.
AUUGAACGCUGGCGGCAGGCCUAACACAUGCAAGUCGAGCGGAUGAAGGGAGCUUGCUCCUGGAUUCAGCGGCGGACGGGUGAGUAAUGCCUAGGAAUCUGCCUGUCAGUGUGGGAUAACGUCCGGAAACGGGCGCUAAUACCGCAUACGUCCUGAGGGAGAAAGUGGGGGAUCUUCGGACCUCACGCUAUCAGACGAGCCUAGGUCGGAUUAGCUAGUUGGUGGGGUAAAGGCCUACCAAGGCGACGAUCCGUAGCUGGUCUGAGAGGAUGAUCAGUCACACUGGAACUGAGACACGGUCCAGACUCCUACGGGAGGCAGCAGUGGGGAAUAUUGGACAAUGGGCGAAAGCCUGAUCCAGCCAUGCCGCGUGUGUGAAGAAGGUCUUCGGAUUGUAAAGCACUUUAAGUUGGGAGGAAGGGCAGUAAGUUAAUACCUUGCUGUUUUGACGUUACCAACAGAAUAAGCACCGGCUAACUUCGUG